RNAcentral lists this ribosomal RNA (460 nucleotides) under uncultured bacterium. Its description in RNAcentral is "partial 16S ribosomal RNA". It matches the Rfam family "Bacterial small subunit ribosomal RNA", at positions 338 to 795 of the family's 1533-position model. The record is from RNAcentral.
CCUACGGGCGGCAGCAGUGAGGAAUAUUGGUCAAUGGGCGCAAGCCUGAACCAGCCAAGUCGCGUGAGGGAUGACGGUCCUAUGGAUUGUAAACCUCUUUUGUCGGGGAGCAAGGCCCGCCACGUGUGGCGGGAAGGAGAGUACCCGAAGAAAAAGCAUCGGCUAACUCCGUGCCAGCAGCCGCGGUAAUACGGAGGAUGCGAGCGUUAUCCGGAUUUAUUGGGUUUAAAGGGUGCGUAGGCGGAAGGUUAAGUCAGCGGUAAAAUGUCGGUGCUCAACACCGGCCUGCCGUUGAAACUGGUCUUCUUGAGUGAGCGAGAAGUAUGCGGAAUGCGUAGUGUAGCGGUGAAAUGCAUAGAUAUCACGCAGAACUCCGAUUGCGAAGGCAGCAUACCGGCGCUCAACUGACGCUGAGGCACGAAAGCGUGGGGAUCGAACAGGAUUAGAUACCCCGGUAGUC